This 481-nucleotide long non-coding RNA is filed under the name Theobroma cacao (cacao). RNAcentral describes it as "long non-coding RNA (TCAC_LNC002466)". The record is from RNAcentral. Lineage: Eukaryota; Viridiplantae; Streptophyta; Magnoliopsida; Malvales; Malvaceae.
UGCACAUAAAAACAAAAUAAAUUUAUACGUACUGUAAUAUAGAAAACUGGAGUAUGCAAUUUAAAUUACAAUGACACGUGGGCCCCUAAAUAACUGAGAAGGUUUACGUCUAUAACUUUGCUUUCUAGGAUGCAACUCCGAAAUUUACUUCUCGAUGCAAUUGACAGUCUACUGCCUAUUCUGAGCCUGAAAUAUGUAUAGGAAGAAGGGGUAAGAUUAUAAAAUCCCAAUGAGUAGACAGACAUCAUCAAAAUAAUCUAAAGCCGAGUAAUAGGAGACAAUUAAAAUAAUUCAUCUCAACCCAUAUAAAUAAUUGGAUUUCAUCUAAUUACUCAACAUGGCUUAUGCACUUUUCAAAAACUUGGCUCUUGCCAAAAAUCCAUUCUCGGGGAUACCUCGCGAAAGCAUCUUACCGAGACCGCCAAGGCUGUUUAUUGUCACACACACAAACACAUUUCACCUCUGACAACACAGCCGUUCN